CACCAGGUUGAUUCUGCCUGACGCAGACGCUCGUCUCCGAGACUAAGCCAUGCAUGCCCGCGAAGAAGGGAGCGGCGAACGGCUCAGUAGCACCGCGGCAAUCUGCCCCGCGCGAGCGAUAACCGCGGGAAACUGCGGCUAAGAGCGCGGGCUGAGGCGCGGCCCCAUCAGCUAGUCGGCGGUGUAACGGACCGCCGAGGCGACGACGGGUGCGGGGGGUCGGGGCCCUAUUCCGGAGAGGGAGCCUGAGAGAUGGCUCCCACGUCCAAGGACGGCAGCAGGCGCGGAAAUUGCCUACUCCUCGCGGGGAGGCAGUCACGAGACGUGGCGCAUGGGCGCACUGCAAACGCGUGCGCGAACGCGAGCGGAGGGCAAGCUCGGUGCCAGCAGCCGCGG
This 396-nucleotide ribosomal RNA is filed under the name Alternosema bostrichidis. Its description in RNAcentral is "SSU rRNA". It matches the Rfam family "Microsporidia small subunit ribosomal RNA", at positions 1 to 405 of the family's 1311-position model. Lineage: Eukaryota; Fungi; Microsporidia. The record is from RNAcentral.